GACGAACGCUGGCGGCGUGCUUAAUACAUGCAAGUCGAACGGAAAGGCCCUGCUUUUGUGGGGUGCUCGAGUGGCGAACGGGUGAGUAACACGUGAGUAACCUGCCUGUGACUUUGGGAUAACUUCAGGAAACUGGGGCUAAUACCGGAUAGGAGUUCCUGUCGCAUGGUGGGGGCUGGAAAGUUUCGGCGGUUGGGGUUGGACUUGCGGCUGAGUAGCUUGUUGGUGGGGUAGUGGUUUACCAAGGCCUUGACGGGUAGCCGGCCUGAGAGGGUGACCGGCCACAUUGGGACUGAGAAACGGCCCAGACUCCUACGGGGGGCAGCAGUGGGGGAUAUUGCACGAUAGGCGGAAGCCUGAUGCAGCAACGCCGCGUGCGGGAUGACGGCCUUCGGGUUGUAAACCGCUUUCGCCUGUGACGAAGCGUGAGUGACGGUAAUGGGUAAAGAAGCACCGGCUAACUACGUG
This 468-nucleotide ribosomal RNA is filed under the name uncultured bacterium. RNAcentral describes it as "partial 16S ribosomal RNA". It matches the Rfam family "Bacterial small subunit ribosomal RNA", at positions 28 to 507 of the family's 1533-position model. The record is from RNAcentral.